GAGGCUAUAGCUUAAUUGGUAGAGCCAACUGCUCAUGACGGUUUAGAUAAGUGUUCGAUUCACUUUGGCCUUA
This is a transfer RNA of Phaeomoniella chlamydospora, 73 nucleotides long. It matches the Rfam family "tRNA". Rfam says of the family: Transfer RNA (tRNA) molecules are approximately 80 nucleotides in length. The record is from Rfam. NCBI's taxonomy places the organism in Eukaryota, Fungi, Ascomycota, Eurotiomycetes, Phaeomoniellales, Phaeomoniellaceae.